UAAAAAGCACAAACUUAAAAAAAUGUAUUACUGUCCAAAUUAGAAACUAAAAUUAAGUUAAAUGCUAAGCAGGAAUGGCAAACCAACUAUUCUAAACAGUGAUAAUUUUUAUCUUUUAAAAAAAAUGAAGAAGAAUAAAAUAUUUAUGGAAGGUAUUUUCAGGCGCGCCUUCCUUUUUCUCAUUGAAUUUUGCCUUGCAGUUUUUUGGAAUUCCAAUAUAGCAAUAAACCCAAAACAAGAAGCACCAACCUUUUGGUGCUUUUAGGUUUCUAGCCCUUAGAUCUACUCCUUAAUUACUAAUAGUUCUUAAAUCAAACACUAUUCCAUCUACCACCACCUACCACCAUCAUCUCAACCUCACAUCCUUUCAUCUAAUGGCUAAAAACUCAAAAACACCACCCUCUUAGUACUUUUGAGAGUAUUCUAGCUUAACUAUAUAUAUAUAUAUAUAUAUAUAUAUAU
RNAcentral lists this long non-coding RNA (462 nucleotides) under Ananas comosus (pineapple). Its description in RNAcentral is "long non-coding RNA (ACOM_LNC007569)". Lineage: Eukaryota; Viridiplantae; Streptophyta; Magnoliopsida; Poales; Bromeliaceae. The record is from RNAcentral.